GAUGAACGCUGGCGGCGUGCCUAAUACAUGCAAGUCGAGCGAACAGACGAGGAGCUUGCUCCUCUGACGUUAGCGGCGGGCGGGUGAGUAACACGUGGAUAACCUACCUAUAAGACUGGGAUAACUUCGGGAAACCGGAGCUAAUACCGGAUAAUAUAUUGAACCGCAUGGUUCAAUAGUGAAAGACGGUUUUGCUGUCACUUAUAGAUGGAUCCGCGCCGCAUUAGCUAGUUGGUAAGGUAACGGCUUACCAAGGCAACGAUGCGUAGCCGACCUGAGAGGGUGAUCGGCCACACUGGAACUGAGAUACGGUCCAGACUCCUACGGGAGGCAGCAGUAGGGAAUCUUCCGCAAUGGGCGAAAGCUUGACGGAGCAACGCCGCGUGAGUGAUGAAGGUCUUCGGAUCGUAAAACUCUGUUAUUAGGGAAGAACAAAUGUGUAAGUAACUAUGCACGUCUUGACGGUACCUAAUCAGAAAGCCACGGCUAACUACGUG
This 497-nucleotide ribosomal RNA is filed under the name uncultured bacterium. RNAcentral's name for it is "partial 16S ribosomal RNA". It matches the Rfam family "Bacterial small subunit ribosomal RNA", at positions 28 to 507 of the family's 1533-position model. The record is from RNAcentral.